RNAcentral lists this ribosomal RNA (484 nucleotides) under uncultured bacterium. RNAcentral describes it as "partial 16S ribosomal RNA". It matches the Rfam family "Bacterial small subunit ribosomal RNA", at positions 30 to 507 of the family's 1533-position model. The record is from RNAcentral.
AUUGAACGCUGGCGGCAGGCCUAACACAUGCAAGUCGAGCGGAUGAAGGGAGCUUGCUCCUGGAUUCAGCGGCGGACGGGUGAGUAAUGCCUAGGAAUCUGCCUGGUAGUGGGGGAUAACGUCCGGAAACGGGCGCUAAUACCGCAUACGUCCUGAGGGAGAAAGUGGGGGAUCUUCGGACCUCACGCUAUCAGAUGAGCCUAGGUCGGAUUAGCUAGUUGGUGGGGUAAAGGCCUACCAAGGCGACGAUCCGUAACUGGUCUGAGAGGAUGAUCAGUCACACUGGAACUGAGACACGGUCCAGACUCCUACGGGAGGCAGCAGUGGGGAAUAUUGGGCAAUGGGCGAAAGCCUGAUCCAGCCAUGCCGCGUGUGUGAAGAAGGUCUUCGGAUUGUAAAGCACUUUAAGUUGGGAGGAAGGGCAGUAAGUUAAUACCUUGCUGUUUUGACGUUACCAGCAGAAUAAGCACCGGCUAACUUCGUG